This 1460-nucleotide long non-coding RNA is filed under the name Oryctolagus cuniculus (rabbit). RNAcentral describes it as "lncRNA (ENSOCUG00000036609.1)". The record is from RNAcentral. Lineage: Eukaryota; Metazoa; Chordata; Mammalia; Lagomorpha; Leporidae.
GGCAUUUGUGCAGCUAAAGUCACAUGCGAAGGGAGAGCGCCGAUCUACAGCGGCUCCAAGUCACAGCCCAGAGUGCCGAGCGCGUGCUGCUGGGGUCACCAGGCAGGAAGCCCCCGGCCCAGGCAGGAAGCCCCCAGGCCGAGUGCUGGCAGGUGUUUUGGGCUCCCAGGCCCAGGCAGGAAUUGCACAGUUUUCUUUCUCAUUCUCUGAAACAUGUUUUGAAAAUUUAAAAUACCUCACACUUAAGAAAAAAAAAAAAAAGAGGAGACCAGUGGGACAGACGCAGACUUUCUCCUUUAAGGGAAACCUCUCCUCUUCUCUCUUCUCUUGGAAUUGCUUGUCCCUGGGGUCAGCGCGCGUCUGUCUGUGUCUGUUCUUGGAGCGAAGCUCUGUCCUCGUCCGUCUCUCUCUGAGCACAACAUCCACCCAGAAGGCCUCCCCAAAUUUCUGUGGAGCUCACGUAAGCAAAUCUGCUUGAGACGCUGCAUAGUUUUUUUUUAAGCGUGAAAAAGAAUUGGGACCAAAAGAUGGGAAAUCCUUGCUGUGGAUUGUCACUUAAUUUCACAGUUUAUGGUAUCCUGACUGACAGACAAGACACCAUAGGAAAUCCAUUCAAAUCCCAUUUGCAAACAUUUUCUGACACUGAAGUAAUAAGUAUUCCAGUCAAGAGGGGAAUAUAAAUUGCUGGAUGUACAUUGAUACCAACUUUGGAAACGCCCUGAUUUGUUUAAACGUGGCAAUAACCUCAACACGCAUCUCUCUCACCGCGUUCCUUCUACCCAAUAUCAGAGGCCUGCCACUAGGCACCCAGACCUCCGCCUUCGAAGAGGACCAGCUGCCUAGACCACCCUUCCAGUCCCGGUUCUGGUAGCUGUGAGUGCCUGUUACCGCAGGGAGGAAAGGGGGGAAAAGGAAACCCACUGUGCAUUGGGAGUCAGGACACAGCCGGCAGCAAGUACCCUGUGCAGGAGUGAGGUGGGGAGGACAAGGUAAACUGUGGACAGGAGUGAGGUGUGGAGGGGCAGGUGCAGUGUGUACAGGAGUGAGGUGUGGAGGGGCAGGUGCACUGUGUACAGGAGUGAGGUGUGGAGGGGCAGGUGCACUGUGUACAGGAGUGAGGUGUGGAGGGCAGGUGCACUGUGUACAGGAGGCGCUGCCUCACCCUGAGGAACUCCUAACCCCCGCGUGUCGUGUGAUUUCUCAGCGUGUCCUCAGGUUCUCGGUCCCCGUAGCUGUCCAGGUGAGUCUGCAGGGGCACUGCACUGGGGAGAAUGCUGUUAACCAGGACACUGCCCUGCCUUGCGCCGGAGCAAUCACUGGCACACACUCCGGCUCCUGGCACAUCGGAGGGCAAGGCCCGUCACCAGCCGUGUCCAGAUGCAGAGACUCGAGCGGAACGUGCUGUAUGCAUUUUCCCGUGACAUGAAUCAUGCUUCCAGCUCAGCCCUCCGACGUCUGUG